UCAACACACCUUCUUCUCGGUUGGCACCCGAAUGAAGGUUCGUGUCUUAAGUCUUUGGUUUGCUGCGAUUCAGUUUCUUCGUGUACGCCGUCAGUGCUGGUUGUGUUUAGCGGAUGGAAGAAAGCGUCUGCUGCCUCUUAUGGACUAAGCUGAAAACAAAAAUAAAUUUGCAAGUUAAAACUGUUGGAAAUAAAUUAAACUGUAUUACAAGAACAACGAAAAGCUGGACACUGCGAAUUUUUGGGUGUAUAAAUGCGCGAAAAAACGCAUGAACCAGUUAGAGCGAUU
Rhagoletis zephyria (snowberry fruit fly) is the source of this 288-nucleotide long non-coding RNA. RefSeq lists it as uncharacterized. The record is from RefSeq and is a predicted model, not a curated record. NCBI's taxonomy places the organism in Eukaryota, Metazoa, Arthropoda, Insecta, Diptera, Tephritidae.